UACGUAGGGGGCUAGCGUUGUCCGGAAUCAUUGGGCGUAAAGAGCGUGUAGGCGGCCCGGUAAGUCCGCUGUGAAAGUCGGGGGCUCAACCCUCGAAUGCCGGUGGAUACUGUCGGGCUAGAGUCCGGAAGAGGCGAGUGGAAUUCCUGGUGUAGCGGUGGAAUGCGCAGAUAUCAGGAGGAACACCGAUGGCGAAGGCGGCGACCUGGGUAGAUACUGACGCUGAGGUGCGAAAGCGUGGGGAGCAAACAGG
This 253-nucleotide ribosomal RNA is filed under the name uncultured bacterium. RNAcentral describes it as "partial 16S ribosomal RNA". It matches the Rfam family "Bacterial small subunit ribosomal RNA", at positions 524 to 776 of the family's 1533-position model. The record is from RNAcentral.